Molecule: ribosomal RNA, 433 nt
Filed under: uncultured bacterium
Lineage: Bacteria
Description: partial 16S ribosomal RNA
Rfam family: Bacterial small subunit ribosomal RNA
Source: RNAcentral
AACGAACGCUGGCGGCAGGCCUAACACAUGCAAGUCGAGCGGACCCUUCGGGGUUAGCGGCGGACGGGUGAGUAACGCGUGGGAAUAUGCCCUUCUCUACGGAAUAGUCCUGGGAAACUGGGGGUAAUACCGUAUACGCCCUUUGGGGGAAAGAUUUAUCGGGGAAGGAUUAGCCCGCGUUGGAUUAGGUAGUUGGUGGGGUAAUGGCCUACCAAGCCGACGAUCCAUAGCUGGUUUGAGAGGAUGAUCAGCCACACUGGGACUGAGACACGGCCCAGACUCCUACGGGAGGCAGCAGUGGGGAAUCUUAGACAAUGGGGGCAACCAUGAUCUAGCCAGGCCGCGUGAGUGAUGAAGGCCUUAGGGUUGUAAAGCUCUUUCAGCUGGGAAGAUAAUGACGGUACCAGCAGAAGAAGCCCCGGCUAACUCCGUG